GUGCAUUCGAGCCGAAUACUUCACCGUCUUGUUUCUGUAUAAUGUAACCGAGGAGAACUUGUGAUUCAGAGCGGCAAUUUCUGAAAGAAAUAAGGAUCUGGCUGCCAGAGAUUGUCGAAGAACUCAGGAGGCAGAGUCACGUAAUCGUCACCCUCUUCGAAGAUGUCCUCUGGCAUAUCGAGUCGAGUCUCUAUCCAACUCUGGCGAACGAACAUAUCCACUCUACUUAACAAGGAAUUUUAUUACUUAUGCGUGUCAAAUAAUAAGUAGAGUUUAAUUACUUCAA
Long non-coding RNA from Megachile rotundata (alfalfa leafcutting bee), 286 nucleotides. The record is from RefSeq and is a predicted model, not a curated record. Lineage: Eukaryota; Metazoa; Arthropoda; Insecta; Hymenoptera; Megachilidae.